RNAcentral lists this transfer RNA (71 nucleotides) under Cavia porcellus (domestic guinea pig). It matches the Rfam family "tRNA". Rfam says of the family: Transfer RNA (tRNA) molecules are approximately 80 nucleotides in length. Lineage: Eukaryota; Metazoa; Chordata; Mammalia; Rodentia; Caviidae. The record is from Rfam by way of RNAcentral.
GAGUGUGUAGCUCAGUGGUAGAGCACUUGCCUAACAUGCAGGAGGUCCCAGAUUUAAAUACUAGCAUGUCA